RNAcentral lists this ribosomal RNA (1467 nucleotides) under Staphylococcus aureus. RNAcentral describes it as "bacterial SSU rRNA". It matches the Rfam family "Bacterial small subunit ribosomal RNA". The record is from RNAcentral. Lineage: Bacteria; Bacillati; Bacillota; Bacilli; Caryophanales; Staphylococcaceae.
GAAUCUCGAAUUAACGUAACUGAGCCGUUGUAAGGCCUUAGCGAACGGACGAGAAGCUUGCUUCUCUGAUGUUAGCGGCGGACGGGUGAGUAACACGUGGAUAACCUACCUAUAAGACUGGGAUAACUUCGGGAAACCGGAGCUAAUACCGGAUAAUAUUUUGAACCGCAUGGUUCAAAAGUGAAAGACGGUCUUGCUGUCACUUAUAGAUGGAUCCGCGCUGCAUUAGCUAGUUGGUAAGGUAACGGCUUACCAAGGCAACGAUGCAUAGCCGACCUGAGAGGGUGAUCGGCCACACUGGAACUGAGACACGGUCCAGACUCCUACGGGAGGCAGCAGUAGGGAAUCUUCCGCAAUGGGCGAAAGCCUGACGGAGCAACGCCGCGUGAGUGAUGAAGGUCUUCGGAUCGUAAAACUCUGUUAUUAGGGAAGAACAUAUGUGUAAGUAACUGUGCACAUCUUGACGGUACCUAAUCAGAAAGCCACGGCUAACUACGUGCCAGCAGCCGCGGUAAUACGUAGGUGGCAAGCGUUAUCCGGAAUUAUUGGGCGUAAAGCGCGCGUAGGCGGUUUUUUAAGUCUGAUGUGAAAGCCCACGGCUCAACCGUGGAGGGUCAUUGGAAACUGGAAAACUUGAGUGCAGAAGAGGAAAGUGGAAUUCCAUGUGUAGCGGUGAAAUGCGCAGAGAUAUGGAGGAACACCAGUGGCGAAGGCGACUUUCUGGUCUGUAACUGACGCUGAUGUGCGAAAGCGUGGGGAUCAAACAGGAUUAGAUACCCUGGUAGUCCACGCCGUAAACGAUGAGUGCUAAGUGUUAGGGGGUUUCCGCCCCUUAGUGCUGCAGCUAACGCAUUAAGCACUCCGCCUGGGGAGUACGACCGCAAGGUUGAAACUCAAAGGAAUUGACGGGGACCCGCACAAGCGGUGGAGCAUGUGGUUUAAUUCGAAGCAACGCGAAGAACCUUACCAAAUCUUGACAUCCUUUGACAACUCUAGAGAUAGAGCCUUCCCCUUCGGGGGACAAAGUGACAGGUGGUGCAUGGUUGUCGUCAGCUCGUGUCGUGAGAUGUUGGGUUAAGUCCCGCAACGAGCGCAACCCUUAAGCUUAGUUGCCAUCAUUAAGUUGGGCACUCUAAGUUGACUGCCGGUGACAAACCGGAGGAAGGUGGGGAUGACGUCAAAUCAUCAUGCCCCUUAUGAUUUGGGCUACACACGUGCUACAAUGGACAAUACAAAGGGUAGCGAAACCGCGAGGUCAAGCAAAUCCCAUAAAGUUGUUCUCAGUUCGGAUUGUAGUCUGCAACUCGACUACAUGAAGCUGGAAUCGCUAGUAAUCGUAGAUCAGCAUGCUACGGUGAAUACGUUCCCGGGUCUUGUACACACCGCCCGUCACACCACGAGAGUUUGUAACACCCGAAGCCGGUGGAGUAACCUUUUAGGAGCUAGCCGUCGAAGGUGGGACAAAUG